GGGCUACACACGUGCUACAAUGGCGCAUACAAAGAGAAGCGACCUCGCGAGAGCAAGCGGACCUCAUAAAGUGCGUCGUAGUCCGGACUGGAGUCUGCAACUCGACUCCACGAAGUCGGAAUCGCUAGUAAUCGUGGAUCAGAAUGCCACGGUGAAUACGUUCCCGGGCCUUGUACACACCGCCCGUCACACCAUGGGAGUGGGUUGCAAAAGAAGUAGGUAGCUUAACCUUCGGGAGGGCGCUUACCACUUUGUGAUUCAUGACUGGGGUGAAGUCGUAACAAGGUAACCGUAGGGGAACCUGCGGUUGGAUCACCUCCUUACCUGAA
Molecule: ribosomal RNA, 329 nt
Filed under: Klebsiella indica
Lineage: Bacteria; Pseudomonadati; Pseudomonadota; Gammaproteobacteria; Enterobacterales; Enterobacteriaceae
Description: bacterial SSU rRNA
Rfam family: Bacterial small subunit ribosomal RNA
Source: RNAcentral